Non-coding RNA from Cyanistes caeruleus (blue tit), 2756 nucleotides. Lineage: Eukaryota; Metazoa; Chordata; Aves; Passeriformes; Paridae. The record is from RefSeq and is a predicted model, not a curated record.
CCGUGCCAGGGGUCGCACCCAGCGCUCCCCAGGCCUCAGGACGCAGGCCUGCUUAGUGGUGUUUGGGAACAGUGUCGUCCCCUGCGGCCAAACGUCAGGGAAAUAAUGAGAAAAGCCAGAGAAGGAAGUGUUCCUGUGCUCAUACGCAUAAUUUGAGCGGGGAAGUGCCACACUUUGGAUGUGGGGAGUAAAAAUAAGGAGCACUGAAUGGCCCUGGGUUCUUCUGAAAAAGACAAAUUUGGGGUCACCUGGAGUCCCUGUUUACAGCAGUAAAUCUAAAUAGGUUUUUGUGGAUUUCCAUAUUUAGUGGGAGUUCUCCACGGUUACAUCUAAAUACCGCUGCACUUAAUAAACCCUCAUAAAUUCAGGGCAGUUAAGAAACCAUCAUACUCAGGCUGUCAGAUGGAAACUUCUCUUGUGAUGAAAUUAAUAAAGGCGCACUAAUUACUGUAAUACUUUGAAGAUUAGAUCCCAAAUGUAGUAUGCUAAUUUUGGUUUAAAAUUUACCAAAAUUCUCAGUUUACAUCCAAAUCAUUACAGUUUGCCAAAGCAUUCUAAUAAUCCAUAUACAGAAUCAAUAGUGGCUGUACACAGAGCACUUAUUUAGUCAAGUUGCCAUAAAAUUCUCUUUUAUUUACUGAAGCAGCUUUUUUUAGCUUUAUUACUUUCACAAUGUAUUUAUUAACCUGCUGUUAUAUGGACAUCAUUAUUACUCACCUACUAAGACUGUGUAGCAAAGCUUUUUGUCUAUACUAAUUGAAUUAUUGAAUAACUUGUGAUUCAUACUCUGCUUUGGACCACUGACAUGUUGUUGGCUCAAUUUCUUGUGUCUCCCAAAGGAAGAGCAGCAGGCUAACCUACAAAAUUCAGUGGGUUUAGCUUUCAAUUCCUAGCUUACAAGAGUUGCGCAAAUUUGUGUUGGGCAAUGGAGCCGUUUGUUUAACUUAUUUACUUUGCCACCUUAAUUACCUUAAAAUUCCAACUAAAUUCAAGAAGAACUAAUUUAAUUUAUGAUAAAGUGUCUAUAAUACAAUUUUUCCAGGCAGUGACACUGGAAAAUUAAUGUAAAUGCAUAGUCAGAUCUUAUCUGAAUGUCUUGGUCUGUAAAGCUGGAUAAGAAAUCUCCCAAGAAUAUGCUUUUUCGUGAACUUUCUGGUACUUCCUGCUUUUAAUUUGCUCAAAAAUACUGCAUAGAAAAGUGCAACACAGCACUUUUUCCUCCCAGCUGGAGUUAGGAAAUGCAGGGUAUGAAAAGUGAAAAAGAGAGAACGGAGGAAAAUGAUCCAAAUUUUCCAAAACCUCUUAAAAAUGUUUUAAUUGAACUAACUUGUUCAGCUGCAAAUAUAAAUGACUGAACUCCCAAGGAGAGGAUUUAUAAAAAAUAAUUGAGUGAUAACAUUCAGAUUUAUAGUGUGAAUGAUUUGAAAAUAUAUUUUUUUACCAGCACCCAUGCUGGAUGAUAAAUGUCAGACUGAGGAAUAAGUACUGUACAGUAUGUAAUUGCUGGCAGUUGCCCUAUGUAUGUGUACAUACACAUGCUGGCAUUUAAAGGCCCAGUUGCGUAGCUCCACCUUCCAGUGAAGGAAAAGAUUAAAGUGUGUUUAAAAAUUACCAAAAUGAAGUUUGGUUGAGUGUUAAUAUUUUGAAGAUGUCGUAUUAGCAAUAUGCUGAUGCUAACUUGGAGUGGAAAAGCCAUGUGUACAGAAAACUAAUCAGAGCUCUGUCUUUACUAUAAAAUACCUGACUUGUGAUUAGGGCACACAGAAAAGUAAAGGCAAGAACACAGGUUUCAAAAUGUUGAAACUGAUCUGCUCCAUAUAUUGCACAGAAUCAGAGCCUCGGGUCAACUUCGAAACAAAACUGAACAAGCUGAGAAAAACUGACACAUUCCAUGUGUGAGGAAGAUCCUAUCACUCUUGAAAAGUCUAGAGGACUACGGAGAAGGGCAAGAUUCCUGCUCCUGAGAUCACACAAAGGCAGAAUGAAGUUGCUCCUCACUGAGCACAAGGAGUGAGGCGAAGAUCUCAGAAAAGGAACAUGAAAGUGCAGAGAUUAGGAAAUACUGAAGAGAAUACAACCAACACUGGCUUUCUUUAAGGAAAGCUAAGCAUUUCAUAAAAUAAAGAGGAAAAGGCCACAGAGUCAAACAGAUUUUUGCUGAAUAAGCCCAAUUUGAAUUUGGAUUUAACAAAGAAAUCAAGGGUAGGAAAUAAAUCAGGAAAAGAUAUAGUUAUAAACAACCAAACACCUGGCUUAGAAGCAGCUGUACUACUGUAUUAGUAUGGUGCUGUCUUCAGGCUGUCAUCCCACCCUCCUGGUAAGGCUAAUAAAUUUGGGUAAGUGGACAAGUUCUCAUAUGUAUACUGGUUUUAAACUUGACACACCUGAUGACAGAAUACAGAGAGGGCCUGUAUAAUUCAUGUCUGCUCUCUCCUAUUUUCAUUUUAUUCCUAUCCCAGAAGGGGGUGGGAAAUAGUGUAUGCAAAUCCGAGACCAAAGUUUUCUUAAUUUUGAAUCUAGCUGGUUCAAAAUAUUGCUUUGAAAAAAGCCAGCCCACAUGUCACAACAAAAAGCCAGCCCACAACCUAAGUUAACAAGAAUAGUCCAUUUCUUAUCUUGUGGACUAGUGUUGUUAGAGGGCUAUGGAGGCACACUAAAAAUAAAAAUAUAAAUGCUUAUUUAUUUAAGUGGACAUAUAAAACAUUCACAGUUAUAAAAAGUGCAAUAUUAGUUUUUCACCAGUGUUAUGAACAAAA